Molecule: small nucleolar RNA, 216 nt
Organism: Hypanus sabinus (Atlantic stingray)
Lineage: Eukaryota; Metazoa; Chordata; Chondrichthyes; Myliobatiformes; Dasyatidae
Product: small nucleolar RNA U3
Exons: 1
Source: RefSeq, a predicted model, not a curated record
AAGACUAUACUUUUAAGGAUCAUUUCUAUAGUCUGUGACUGAGAAAUCCUGUACAAAAAAGUUGGUCUCUGCAACCAUGAUGAGGAGCUGCAGCGUUUUCUCCUGAGCGCAAAGUGGUUCUCAAGCUUUGCUUUAUGCAAUGGCUUGUUAACAUUGAUGACCGUUCCCUUCUUCCAAUGUGGGAGUUGUGGAGGGAGAAUACGCAGUCUGAGUGGU